CCUACGGGUGGCAGCAGUGAGGAAUAUUGGUCAAUGGACGAGAGUCUGAACCAGCCAAGUAGCGUGAAGGAUGACUGCCCUAUGGGUUGUAAACUUCUUUUAUAUGGGAAUAAAAUGUUCCACGUGUGGGAUUUUGUAUGUACCAUAUGAAUAAGGAUCGGCUAACUCCGUGCCAGCAGCCGCGGUAAUACGGAGGAUCCGAGCGUUAUCCGGAUUUAUUGGGUUUAAAGGGAGAGUAGGUGGAUUGUUAAGUCAGUUGUGAAAGUUUGCGGGUCAACCGUAAAAUUGCAGUUGAAACUGGCAGUCGUGAGUACAGGAGAGGUGGGCGGGAGUCGUGGUGUAGCGGUGAAAUGCUUAGAUAUCACGAAGAACUCCGAUUGCGAAGGCAGCUCACUGGACUGCAACUGACACUGAGGCUCGAAAGGGUGGGUAUCAAACAGGAAUAGAUACCCCGGUAGUC
Molecule: ribosomal RNA, 460 nt
Filed under: uncultured bacterium
Lineage: Bacteria
Description: partial 16S ribosomal RNA
Rfam family: Bacterial small subunit ribosomal RNA
Source: RNAcentral